This 497-nucleotide ribosomal RNA is filed under the name uncultured bacterium. RNAcentral describes it as "partial 16S ribosomal RNA". It matches the Rfam family "Bacterial small subunit ribosomal RNA", at positions 28 to 507 of the family's 1533-position model. The record is from RNAcentral.
GAUGAACGCUGGCGGCGUGCCUAAUACAUGCAAGUCGAGCGAACAGACGAGGAGCUUGCUCCGCUGACGUUAGCGGCGGACGGGUGAGUAACACGUGGAUAACCUACCUAUAAGACUGGGAUAACUUCGGGAAACCGGAGCUAAUACCGGAUAAGAUAUUGAACCGCAUGGUUCAAUAGUGAAAGACGGUUUUGCGGUCACGUAUAGAUGGAUCCGCGCCGUAUUAGCUAGUUGGUAAGGUAAAGGCUUACCAAGGCGACGAUGCGUAGCCGACCUGAGAGGGUGAUCGGCCACACUGGAACUGAGACACGGUCCAGACUCCUACGGGAGGCAGCAGUAGGGAAUCUUCCGCAAUGGGCGAAAGCCUGACGGAGCAACGCCGCGUGAGUGAUGACGGUCUUCGGAUCGUAAAACUCUGUUAUUAGGGAAGAACAACUGUGUAAGUAACUAUGCCCGUCUUGACGGUACCUAAUCAGAAAGCCACGGCUAACUACGUG